GUGUCAGCAGCCGCGGUAAAACGUAGGUGGCAAGCGUUAUCCGGAUUUACUGGGCGUAAAGCGUGUGCAGGCGGGUGGACAAGUGGUGUAUGAAAUCGCCAGGCUAAACCUGGCGGGGUUAUGCCAGACUGUCCGUCUGGAGUGCGAGAGAGGGGCGUGGAAUUCCGGGUGUAGUGGUGAAAUGCGUAGAGAUCCGGAGGAACCCCAGAGGCGAAGGCGGCGCCCUGGCUCGCAACUGACGCUCAGACACGACAGCAUGGGGAGCGAACGGGAUUAGAAACCCGGGUAGUCC
RNAcentral lists this ribosomal RNA (292 nucleotides) under uncultured bacterium. RNAcentral describes it as "partial 16S ribosomal RNA". It matches the Rfam family "Bacterial small subunit ribosomal RNA", at positions 505 to 796 of the family's 1533-position model. The record is from RNAcentral.